AGUGAACGCUGGCGGUAGGCCUAACACAUGCAAGUCGAACGGCAGCACAGUAAGAGCUUGCUCUUACGGGUGGCGAGUGGCGGACGGGUGAGGAAUACAUCGGAAUCUACUUUUUCGUGGGGGAUAACGUAGGGAAACUUACGCUAAUACCGCAUACGACCUACGGGUGAAAGCAGGGGAUCUUCGGACCUUGCGCGAUUGAAUGAGCCGAUGUCGGAUUAGCUAGUUGGCGGGGUAAAGGCCCACCAAGGCGACGAUCCGUAGCUGGUCUGAGAGGAUGAUCAGCCACACUGGAAGUGAGACACGGUCCAGACUCCUACGGGAGGCAGCAGUGGGGAAUAUUAGACAAUGGGGGCAAGCCUGAUCCAGCCAUACCGCGUGGGUGAAGAAGGCCUUCGGGUUGUAAAGCCCUUUUGUUGGGAAAGAAAAGCAGCAGGUUAAUACGCCGCUGUUCUGACGGUACCCAAAGAAUAAGCACCGGCUAACUUCGUG
Molecule: ribosomal RNA, 492 nt
Filed under: uncultured bacterium
Lineage: Bacteria
Description: partial 16S ribosomal RNA
Rfam family: Bacterial small subunit ribosomal RNA
Source: RNAcentral